UACGUAGGGUGCGAGCGUUAAUCGGAAUUACUGGGCGUAAAGGGUGCGCAGGCGGUUUUGUAAGCCAGAUGUGAAAUCCCCGGGCUUAACCUGGGAAUGGCAUUUGGGACUGCAAGGCUUGAGUGCGGCAGAGGAGACUGGAAUUCCUGGUGUAGCGGUGAAAUGCGCAGAUAUCAGGAAGAACACCCGUGGCGAAGGCGGCUCUCUGGGACGGUACUGACGCUGAGACGCGAAAGCGUGGGGAGCGAACAGG
This 253-nucleotide ribosomal RNA is filed under the name uncultured bacterium. RNAcentral describes it as "partial 16S ribosomal RNA". It matches the Rfam family "Bacterial small subunit ribosomal RNA", at positions 524 to 776 of the family's 1533-position model. The record is from RNAcentral.